Molecule: non-coding RNA, 74 nt
Organism: Myotis brandtii (Brandt's bat)
Lineage: Eukaryota; Metazoa; Chordata; Mammalia; Chiroptera; Vespertilionidae
Source: Rfam
GGUGGUUUUCGGAUGACGCACCCCGGAAUCGGGCUCCCUCCUUUCUGGUUCUGGGUAGGUCACCAGAGCCUGCA